AUGGGGGACGCCUGCGGCCCGCGGAAAUCUGACGCCAACGCCCACGACGACCUGCCUCCGGCGGUGACCCGCAGGCCAUCGACCCCGCGGCGGCACCCCUCGCCGAAUGCCGGUGCACCAGCCACCCCGAGGCGGCACCCCUCGCCAAAUGCUGCCCCCGCGGCUCCAUCCACCCCGAGGCGGCACCCCUCGCCGAAUGCCGCUACGGGGGUGGCUGGGUCGCAGGGGAAGAGGUCCCAGUCCACCGACCGGCGGUCCGGGAGCCCGGCGAGGCCGGCCUCCGGCGGCGGUUCCAGGGCGGCCGCGCCGUCCAGGAUCUCCGCCCAGACGUCGCCGCCCUCCAGCCCCUCCUCCUCCUCCUCCAGCUCCUCCACGCCCGUGCGCGACGCCGUCUCCGACACGCAGAGCGCCCCGAGGAGGCUGUCCGGCGGAGGCGGCAGGGCCCCCGACGGGCUGUGGCCGUCAAUGCGGAGCCUCUCCUCCUCGCUCCAGCUCGAGCCCAGGGACCGGAGGGCCGCGGAUCAGGCCAGGGCGAGGGACGCGUCGGCGGCGGCCGACAGGAAGAGGAGCCCGAUGAGGGGGCGGAGCGGCGGCGGCGAGCCGCCGGAGAACCCGCACGCCAGGGUGAUUGACCACCACCGCUGGCCGGCCAUGAUGGGGGGCAGGGUGUCCGGCAGCGCCAUGUCCAGGAGCGUGGAUCUCACUGACAAGAUGCACAGGCCACGCGGCGGGGCUUCGCCCAAGAGGACGGCGUCGAUUUCAUCCGCCGCAAGCGCCCUGUCAAGAAGCAUUGAUCUCGCCGACAAAAUCGACCGAUUGGUCUCCUCAUCCAGAGGGGAGGAGUCACCUAGAAGAUCCUCUGCUUCAAAUGGCACAGCUGAUACAUCAAAAAGGAGCAUCACUGAUGGUAAAGAUGCCAGACCUGCAGCCAUGGCAGUUCCAUCAAGAGGGAUGAUUUCUCCUGUGAGAACAGCAAGGGCCCUGUCCAAGAGCAUGGAUCUUACUGAAAGAGAUUACAGUAUGCUCUCCUCCGCAGUGUCAAGUCUCUCAGUAUCAAGUGUGUCUAAUGCCACAUCGCAAACCACAAAAUCUUCUGAGAAGCCGAAUGGACGUGCUUCUUCCCCAGCCUUGUCACGGGGACAUUCACCUAGAACAUCAGCAACAUCUGGCGGCAGCAUUGCCGGUAUAUUGAAAAACAUUGAUGCCCCUGAAAAAGAUAAGAGACCAGCUUCAUCUAGAGGGACUUCGCCAAGAAGGCCACUUGCUUCUGAUGGUGUUAAUGCUAUUGUUAAAAAUAUGGAUCUUUCUGAGAAGGAUAGCAGGACAGUCAUCUCCUCGGUUCCAUCUCGAGCGGUAUCUUCCCCAAGGAGAAGACAGGCUUCUGAUGCUAUUGAUGCUAUGCCAAGAAGCUCAGAUUUUCCUGAAAAAGAUAACAGACCAUCCACAUCAUCUUCAUUGCGUGGGGUUUCUCCGCGAAGAAGGCUUGGCUCUGAUGGUUUCAGUGGUAUAUCAAAAGGGGUGGAUUGUGCUGAUAAAGCUAGCACACCAUCCACCUCAUCAGCUGCAUCGCGAGGUGUUGCACCAAGAACUCAAGUGAUAUCUGAUUGUGUUGGUACUACAUCAAAGGGCAAGGAUUCUGCUGAUAAAGAUAAUAGACCAUCAACCUCAUAUGCUACAUCACGAGGUAUGUCACCACGAAGAAGGCUUGCAUCUGAUGGUAUUAGCUCCAUUUCAAGUAGCAUCAACUUCGCUGAAAAGGAUGGAAGAAUUGUGGCCUCUUCAGUUGCACAUCGUGGGAUCUCAACUAUAAGGCGUCUUGCGUCUGAUGGUGUUGAUAUUAUACCAAAGAGUAUGGAUAGUCCUGAGAAAGAUGUCAGACCCUCCACUUCAGACGGUUCAAGAGGUCUUUCGCCAAGAAGAAGACUUGUCUCUGAUGGUGUCAAUGUUAUACCCAAGCGCAUGGAUCUUUCGGAAAAAGAUACCAGACCUGCCACCUUGUCAACUGCAUCACGGGGAGUUUCACCAAGAAGAAGACUCGCCUCUGAUAAUGUAGAAGCAAUGUCAAAGAGCUCAGAUUCUGUUGAAAAAGAAACAAGAUCAUCCGCUUCGUCGGUGGCAUCACGGGGGGUUUCACCAAGAAGAAGACUCGCCUCUGAUAAUGUAGAAGCAACAUCAAAGANCUCAGAUUCUGUUGAAAAAGAAACAAGAUCAUCCACUUCAUCGAUGGCAUCACGAGGGGUUUCACCAAGAAGAAGAAUCGGCUCUGAUAGUGUAGAAGCUAUAUCGAAGAGCUCAGAUUUUGCUGAAAAAGAAACAAGACCAUCCACUUCGUCAGUGGCAUUACGGGGGGUUUCACCAAGAAGAAGACUCGCCUCUGAUAGUGUAGAAGCUAUAUCGAAGAGCUCAGAUUUUGCUGAAAAAGAAACAAGACCAUCCACUUCAUCAGUGGCAUUACGGGGGGUUUCACCAAGAAGAAGACUUGCCUCUUAUAGUGUAGAAGCUAUAUCAAAGAGCUCAGAUUUUGUUGAAAAAGAAACCAGAUCGUCCACUUCGUCAGUGGCAUCACGAGGGGUUUCACCAAGAAGACGACUUGCUUCGGAUGGUCUCAAUACUUUAUCGAAGAGCACUGAUUUAUCUGGUAAAGACUACAGGCCAUCAACCUCAGCAGCUGCAUCACGAGGGACUUCACCCAGAAGCAGGAUUGCCUCUAAUUCCGUUGAUGCCCCGUCAAGAAGCAUGACUUUUGCUGAUAAAGAGAGCAGACCCUCCACCUCAUCAGGAGCAUCACGUGGGACUCUACAGAGAGGCGUGCUUGCUUCUGGUAGCAUUGUGGAUCCUGUGGACAAUGGUAGUGAACGAUCCACCUCAUCGGCUGCAUCUGGUGGGACUUCAGACAGUAGACUUGACAGUACUGAUGCUCAAGUAGAAGCCAUCCAGUUUGCUGAGGAAGUUAAUUCAGUAACUCCAGAUGGCUGUAGUGAUGAUACUUCAGAAAGCAUGUAUUCUGGUAAUGUAGGCACAGAUGCAGCAUCCUUGUCCAUUGCGGUGCAAGAUAGGCAACCAAGCAGAUCUGUUUCUGAUGUCAGUGAGGAUAUGUCACAGAGUGUGGAUGCAACUCAAAAACAUAACAGAGCCAUCUCGGUAAAGGUUCCAUCUCGAGGAACUUCUCCAAGAAGGCGUCUUGCAUCUGAUGGCAUUAAUACUAUGCUCAAAAGCAUGGAUUUUGCUGAGAAAGAUAAGAGACCCAUGACCAUGUCAGUAUCAUCACGUGGAAUGUCACCAAGAAGAACAGCAAGAGUGGACUCUGCUAGUAUAAUGUCAAAAAGCAUGGAUUUUUCUGAUAAGUGUAAUGGACAAAUAUCUUCAAUAAUUCCAUCGCGAGCGGUUUCUACACGAAAAAUACUGGGACCAGAUGGUGCUAAUGCCAUGUCGAGAAGUGUGGAUCUGACUGAUAACUUCAGACAACCAGUCUCUUCAACAGUGCAACCAAGUAGAGUUUCACCAAGGAAGAUGCCUUAUGCGAGCCCAGGUUCUGCCAAUGGAAAUGGAAUUCAAGAGGAAAAUGCCAGUUCAAGUCCAGAUGCACCUUCAAAUAAUUCAGAAAGAUUUGCACCUCCAAAGCAGUUGGCAAGGACACUGUCUUCACCAUCACGUGGUCUACUACGUCCUUCAUCACCAACCAAGGCUUCAUCAACAUCAUCACUUGCCUCUAGGAGGUUGCCGAGCCCAUUGAGGAUUAGACCUUCAACACCUGUCUCACCAUGUAGUUCUGGUAGAUCCGAUUCCCCCUCUUCUCUUCUCAACUACAUUGGUGAUGCAACAAGAGGAAAGAAGAGCCCAAGCCACAUGGAAGAUGCCCAUCAGUUGCGCCUCCUGUAUAAUAGGAACUUGCAAUGGCGUUUUACAAAUGCUUAUGUGGAUGAAAUGCUAUCAAUCCAGAAGAUGGGUGCCGAGACUAUGCUCUACAGUGUAUGGGAUAGUAACUCAAGGAUGUCUGACUCUAUGGUUACGAAAAGGAGUUAUGUUGAAAGGCUGAGGCAAGAGGUCAAAUUGGGAAUAGUGUUGAAACAACAAAUGGACUACCUCGACCACUGGGAAGAGUUGCAAACAGAUCAUUCUACUUCUUUGUCCGGUGCAAUUGAAGCUCUUAGAGCAAGUACAUUGCGCCUUCCAGUUACAGGAGGAGCAAAGGCUGAUGUACUUACUGUUAAGAAUGCUGUCAGUUCAGCAGUUGACAUUAUGCAAGCAAUGGGCUCUUCUGUUUGCAACUUGCUAUCGAAGUUAGAGGCUACACACUCUCUGGUUACAGAACUCUCAGCUGUUGCUGCUAAAGAAAGCACUACCCUUAAUGAGUACAGAGAGCUCUUGGGUACAGCGGCAGCACUGCAGGUCCACGAGUCCAGCCUAAGGACACAACUCAUACAAGAAACAGAGUGA
RNAcentral lists this ribosomal RNA (4437 nucleotides) under Triticum aestivum (bread wheat). RNAcentral's name for it is "partial small subunit ribosomal RNA". Lineage: Eukaryota; Viridiplantae; Streptophyta; Magnoliopsida; Poales; Poaceae. The record is from RNAcentral.